This 447-nucleotide ribosomal RNA is filed under the name uncultured bacterium. RNAcentral's name for it is "partial 16S ribosomal RNA". It matches the Rfam family "Bacterial small subunit ribosomal RNA", at positions 29 to 523 of the family's 1533-position model. The record is from RNAcentral.
AACGAACGCUGGCGGCAGGCUUAACACAUGCAAGUCGAGCGCCCCGCAAGGGGAGCGGCAGACGGGUGAGUAACGCGUGGGAAUCUACCCAUCCCUACGGAAUAGCUCCGGGAAACUGGAAUUAAUACCGUAUACGCCCUACGGGGGAAAGAUUUAUCGGGGAUGGAUGAGCCCGCGUUGGAUUAGCUAGUUGGUGGGGUAAAGGCCUACCAAGGCGACGAUCCAUAGCUGGUCUGAGAGGAUGAUCAGCCUCAUUGGGACUGAGACACGGCCCAAACUCCUUCGGGAAGCAGCAGUGGGGAAUAUUGAACAAUGGGGGCAACCCAGAUCCAGCUCUGCCGCGUGAGUGAUGAAGGCCUUAGGGUUGUAAAGAUCUUUCACCGGGGAAGAUAAAGUCGGGACACGGAGAAGAAGCCACGGCUAACUACGUGCCAGCAGCGGCCGUAA